ACCUGACCUCGGAUCAGACGUGAAUACCCGCUGAACUUAAGCAUAUCACUAAGCGGAGGAAAAGAAACUAACAAGGAUUCCCUCAGUAACGGCGAGUGAACAGGGAAAAGCCCAGCACCGAAGCCUGUGGUCAUUUGGCCUCUAGGCACUGUGGUGUUUAGGUCUACUCGCGGGAGUGCUGUCCCACUCUAAGUCCAGCAGUGAGUACGGCUUCUGUGACUUGGCCCAAAGAGGGUGAAAGGCCCGUGAGGGUGGGAUUCAGACAAGUCAGCGCUUCCCAUGGGUAAACCUUGGAGUCGGGUUGUUUGUGAAUGCAGCCCAAAGUGGGUGGUAAACUCCAUCCAAGGCUAAAUACUUACACGAGUCCGAUAGCGAACAAGUACCGUGAGGGAAAGUUGAAAAGUACUUUGAAGAGAGAGUAAACAGUGCGUGAAACCGCUCACAGGUAAACGGGUGGAGUUGAACUGCAAGUCAUGAGAAUUCAGCUGAUAAAACUGACGUGAUCUUGGUCACGUGUGUUCACCCAGAGUCUGCGUAGCUGCAGGUCCUGCUCCUCGGAGUGGGGUGUGCGAUGCACUUGUCAAGUGUUGUGCGCUCUGGUAAAUCUAUAGAACGCUUUCGUCAGUGCAUUUUCUCAUGGUGUUCACCACGACCGGCGUCUUGUCUGUCUACUGUUAUCAAACCGAAUCCGUAUCAUCCUUGUGAUUUUAUGGUUUCGGGACGGCAGGUAGCCCGUUUGCAUUUAUGCACUCUGGUGUAAUCAGCUGGUAGCAGUAGUCUUGUGCAGGAUGUCGGAGACGGCGGCUUUUUGGGUGCUUCUGCACGUCCAUCUUUUCAGCGGCUGUGGAUUUGGUUAUCAUGUGCAUGUUAAUGCAUGCCUGGUGAUGGUCCAUGGUUGUGUGAAUUGAGAUUGUGUGGAGCGCCGUACAGGGCCUAUAGUCUGUGGUGUAGUGGUAGACGUUCCACCCGACCCGUCUUGAAACACGGACCAAGGAGAGUAACAUGUAUGCGAGUCAUUGGGCAUUACGAAACCCAAAGGCGUAGUGAAAGUAAAGGUCUAACUCGUUUUAGACUGAGGUGAGAUUCAGCCGUUUCUCAUGUGCGGUACUACCAAGCAAUCGAGCGGUUGACGCAUCACCGGCCCGUCCCAUGG
RNAcentral lists this ribosomal RNA (1153 nucleotides) under Bacciger astyanactis. RNAcentral describes it as "partial large subunit ribosomal RNA". It matches the Rfam family "Eukaryotic large subunit ribosomal RNA", at positions 1 to 776 of the family's 3401-position model. Lineage: Eukaryota; Metazoa; Platyhelminthes; Trematoda; Plagiorchiida; Faustulidae. The record is from RNAcentral.